CUAUUUGCAAGAAGCAGUUUGCUUUUGUGGCCUCUGACAAAAAAGAGGUCCUUUGAGUUGUGAAAAUGAAUCUAUUAGGCAAGAUGUAAUGGACCGUCAGUAGCACAGAGAAAUAUUAUGUAGGGAAGUUGAACAGAUAAACCGAAUUUUUUCAAUAAUGAAUAAUUAAAAAGAAUUGACCCAGCAUUUCCAUAAAGAUAGUAAAAGAAGAUAAAAAAUAAAAAUAUGUUUACUAGCAAAAGACUAUAAUCAGAAACAUAUUGUCAUUUUUUAGGUAAGAAGUGAAAUAAAGUUUCCCCCAUUAAUUAACAAUUGGUUAGUGAAACAAUCAUCUCUCUGGAAGAGGGUCAAGAAAUUUAAAUGCAGAAAUUCAGAGAAGUGGCUGGAAGAUACCAUGAGGGGAUAAAAUAAGAGAUGGCAUAAUUCAGGAAAAUUGUAUCCUCCUGCACCCCCCACUCCCGCCAAAUUACACAAAUAAAUACAAAAUUGAUAGCAGCCCAAGGGCAAAUCGACUCUGUGGCAAAGUAACACAUAGCAUAUUAAAUAAAAAUAGUAAGUACAAUGAAUCAGAAACAGAACUGUGAAAAACCAGAAGAAAAAAGGAGCAAAACAAGAAGACUUUUGGUGUGAUGGAACUGCUGUGUAUGGUAUUAUGAUAGUGGAUGCACAGUUCUAUGCAUCUGUUAAAACAAAAAUAUAAACUGCAAAAGUAAAUUUUACUAUCAACAGUAUUGAAAAAUCAACCACAAUUUAAGGAAAUCCAAGAUGAAAUACAGACUGUAACAACUGUAUCUGAAUAUUAAAGGUGUUGGAUCUGAUAAUGAAGGCACUAAAAAAACUUUGUAAAACUGUGUUUUAACCAUAUAAUCUAAGACUAAAAUAAAAAAGAACUGUAAACAAACACUGUAUUCCAGUUGGUAAAUUUAUGUCUCACAAGGGUAUUGAUUUGCAAUUCUGCAACUACUUUACCUGUAUUCUAGCUUUGGACAUAAAUAUAAAUGUAUUAUUGAUAAUGAGAGCCAGGUGUCUGUCUGAGAAAUAAAGAGAGGUUAAUGCUACAGUGAACUCUGUGUUGCUGGACUGGAAUCAGAGAGUGUGAACUCAUAUUUCUGUUAAUGCAUUCCAGGUAGAGAGCUAAGUAAUAAGUAUAGAUAUGUGUGUAUAAAUGGAUUAGUGUAUAUAUAUAUAUAUAUAUAUGUCCUAAUUCUCUCAGCUGACAGGGCCUCAAAACUGACACCUCCAUAGCAAGGGGCACACCUGGCAACUGAAUCUUAAUUUCAAAACAUCCUUCUCCAACCAAAGAAGCUAGGGCUUUUUGAAGAAAUACCUGCAUCUAGACCUGGUGCCAAAAAAAAAAAAAGUGUAAAAUGAGUCUUAGAGCAUUUUGUGUUGCCAGAAAGAAAAAGGAGGAAUAAACAAACCAAACAAAAACAAAAAACCUAGAAGGCUUAUGAAAAGAACACAGGAAUGAACCGUAAAUAGCUUCAAUCAUCAAAGUCAGAAGAAUUUGUGCAACAAAACAAAAACUGAGACUAUUGAUUGAAAUACCUUAAGUAAAAUGAAUACUUAGUUUAUAGUGAUAUAAUGAUUGAAUGAAUAAAUUCAUGGGAGGAGGGAACAUUGUACAUUACAGAGUGAUUCCAAUUAAUAAGUACAGAAGGAAUAAGGAAAAUAGGAAAUAACUAUUAGAAUAUUAUCGUAAUAUUUAUUGCAGGCAAUAUUCACUGAGGAAUGCUAGAAUUAGUGGUAGAUUCCUUAAAGUGAAACAGGAUAUAUGCAUAGCCUCAAAAUAUCUUUGCCCAAAUAGUGAUUAUUUACGGUAGUUGUUUUAAUAUAUAUCCUUAAAUAAUUGAAUAAUCCUCUCUCCAGGAAUUGGAACUUAAUUCUUUCCAUGAGAGUUUUAACAGCUGCACUGCUUUGGGAGAAUUUGGCUUCAACAUUUCUUCUAGGGCAACUCUGAAUACAGCAGAUGUGAAAUUAUCAUGUUUCCAGCUCGCACCCUCAUGCUGAGAUGACCCACUCAUGAAACAACCUGAAGCCUUUUCCCCCAGUUUCAGAGAAAGAAAGAGACCCACCAUUUGAGCAUAGCGGUGAACUGAAGGAGAGUGCAAUGACACAACCACCACCAAGGAAUGCAGUGGAUACUGAUUAUAAAGGAUUUGGACAACUGUAAGGAAAACUGGAAAACAAUAUGGAGGAAAAUUUGGACACACUCUUACAGAAGAAGAUGAUGGUAAGACACACUGGGAUAAAAUGGCCGUGGAACAGAUGGAGGCAGAGAUUGGGGUUAUGCUGUGACAAACCAAGUUCUGCUAGAAACUGGAAGAGGCAAAGAAGGAUCUUCACCAAAGAAUUCAGAGGAAGUACAGCACUACCAGCAUUUUGCUUCUGGACGUCUGGCCUCCGGAACUAUGAGAAUAAGUUUCUGUUAUUUUCUGUUAUUUUAAGCCACAAAGUCUGUGGUUCUUUGUUCCGGCAGCCCUAAUAACUAAUACAAAUAUAUUUACAUUUAAAGAAAUGCAGGGAAGGAAGUGUAGGAUUUUCAUGUACUCCACCCUCAGUUUCCCAUAUUGUUAACAAUUUACAUUUGUAUGGGACACAUGUCACAGUUACUAGCCAGGAUCCAUACUUUAUUCAGAUUUCACAGUUUUUACCUUAAGUAUCCUUUCUAUAUUUGUAGAUCUCAUCUAGAAUACCUCAUUACAUUUAGUCAUCAUGUCAUUUUAAGAUACUGUAGAUUGUGAUAGGUUUUCAGGUUUUCCUUGUUUUUGAUGACCUUGACAGUUUUAAGGACUACCAGCCAAAUAUUUUUUAGAAUAUUUUUCAUUUGAUUUUGCCUAUUUUUUUUCUUAUAUUAGACUGUGAUAUAGGUUUGGAAGAGGAAGAUUAGAGGUAAGAUGCCAUUCUUGUCAAAUCAUGCCAAGAGUUUGUACUAUAAACAUUACCUGUCACUGUUGAGAUUAAACCUUGGUCACCUGGCUGAAGUAGUUUGUCAGUUUUCUCCACUGUGAAGUUACUCUUUCUGCUUCCCUUUUCCACACUGUACUAUUUAAAAGGAAGUCACUAUACAUAGUCCUCUGUUAAGAAGUAAGGAGUUAGGCUCAACUUCUUUGAGGCAAGGUUUGCUACCAAAACUAUUUUGAAUUACCUUACACAGGAAAAUCGGAUUUAUUUAUAGUUGUUCAAAAUUGGACACAUUCAAGAUAUCCUUCCAUAGGUGAAUGGAUAAACUGUUACAGCCAUACAAUGAAAUAUUAUUCAACCAUGUAAAGAAAUAAGCUAUCAUGCCACAAAAAGACAUAGUGGAUCCUUAAACACAUAUUAUCACAUAAGAGAAACCAGUCUAAAAAUAUUGGAUACUGUAUGAUUCCAAUUACAUGACAUUCUUGAAUUGGAAAACUGCAGAGGCAGUAAGAAGAUUAGUGGUUUUCAAGGGUUAAGGGGCAUGGAGGAAGGGAUGAACAGAUAGAGCCCAGAGAGUGAUAAAGGUGGUAAAAUUAUGCUGUAGGAUACUGAGUAGACCGUGCAUGUAAUUGUGGAUACAUGACAUUAUUGUGAAAACCUAUAGAACAAUACCAUACAAAGAGCAAACCCUAAUGUAAACUAUGGCUUUACUUAAUAAUAAUAUUGGUUCAUCAAUUGUAACAAAUGUACCAUCAUCAGUGUAAGAUGUUAAUAAUAGGGAAAGUUGUAUGUUGUGGCUGGGGAGAAAGAAAAGAAGUAUACAGGUACUCUCUGAAUGUUCUGCUAAAAUUUCUUGUAAAACAAUAAAAAAUAAUAAAUAUCAAAAAAUAAAAAUAUAAUAACUAUUUUUAAAUUAUCUAUAUUAUUAUAUAUA
RNAcentral lists this long non-coding RNA (3838 nucleotides) under Homo sapiens (human). RNAcentral's name for it is "HSALNT0127964". The record is from RNAcentral. Lineage: Eukaryota; Metazoa; Chordata; Mammalia; Primates; Hominidae.